Pantherophis guttatus is the source of this 852-nucleotide long non-coding RNA. RefSeq lists it as uncharacterized. The record is from RefSeq and is a predicted model, not a curated record. NCBI's taxonomy places the organism in Eukaryota, Metazoa, Chordata, Lepidosauria, Squamata, Colubridae.
GAAAAAGAAUGGCCUAAAGUCUAUUGGCUGAAAUAGCAGAAAGAAAUGAUCUAGGAUUUGACCCUAUGAUAGAUUUUCUAUAACAAAACAAAUGAUUCAGUUGUUAUCAAGUCUGGGAAGCAUCUGCUGUUACCUACUUACUGAAUGCAGGGUUGAGUUUCUGCAAUGCUAAGAUUGCUAUGUCUGGAAUUAGGUCUCAAAGAUCUUUCCUAUCCACAGAAAAGAAUCUGAAAGAGAAAGAAGAAUAGUACAAUUUAUCAAUCGCUGGAUAUGAAUGAUUGAAUAUAUUAGAUGCAAAGGAAUGUGGAGAUAAACUUCAUUGUUUCCAUACUAAUGAAUGGGAAGUAAACAAAAUUGGACUUUAAUGAUAGCACCGGAAGUCAAAUAUAUCUAAAAGCAAUGGUGGUAUUCAGCCAGUUCUAUCCGGUUCGGGAAGACCGGUAGCGGUGGCUGCGGGAGGCUCCACCCACCCACCCGAACAUCAUCACAUCCUGUUUUUGAUGCUCUGCGCAUGCGUGGAAGGACUUGUGCAUGCAUACACGCUCACAUUUGCGAACCGGUAGCAAAGAACCAGAACCGGUGGGUCAAAACUAGAAGGAAGUAAGUUCAGGCCAGAUGUUAGAAGAAACUUCCUGACUAUGUAAGCUGUCAGCCAGUGGAAAACCUGCCAUAUUAAGUGAUUCUGCACCUGUAACAGAGAAGCUACUGUUGCUAAUUUGAGGCAUUCACCAGGGAGAGACAAUUAACUCAUUGACUGGAACAAGGGAAAUUUAAUAGAAAAACUGUCAUUUACAAACCACUGUUAAGUUUUGCAGAUCUUUGUUACUGGAAUAAACAUUAGUCUGUAAAAUG